CCUACGGGUGGCAGCAGUGGGGAAUAUUGGGCAAUGGGCGCAAGCCUGACCCAGCAACGCCGCGUGAAGGAAGAAGGCCUUCGGGUUGUAAACUUCUUUUAAGGGGGAAGAGCAGAAGACGGUACCCCUUGAAUAAGCUACGGCUAACUACGUGCCAGCAGCCGCGGUAAUACGUAGGUGGCAAGCGUUGUCCGGAUUUACUGGGUGUAAAGGGCGUGCAGCCGGAGAGACAAGUCAGAUGUGAAAUCCACGGGCUCAACCCGUGAACUGCAUUUGAAACUGGUUCCCUUGAGUGUCGGAGAGGUAAUCGGAAUUCCUUGUGUAGCGGUGAAAUGCGUAGAUAUAAGGAAGAACACCAGUGGCGAAGGCGGAUUACUGGACGAUAACUGACGGUGAGGCGCGAAAGCGUGGGGAGCAAACAGGAUUAGAUACCCGGGUAGUC
RNAcentral lists this ribosomal RNA (442 nucleotides) under uncultured bacterium. Its description in RNAcentral is "partial 16S ribosomal RNA". It matches the Rfam family "Bacterial small subunit ribosomal RNA", at positions 338 to 795 of the family's 1533-position model. The record is from RNAcentral.